This 544-nucleotide ribosomal RNA is filed under the name uncultured bacterium. RNAcentral's name for it is "partial 16S ribosomal RNA". It matches the Rfam family "Bacterial small subunit ribosomal RNA", at positions 355 to 888 of the family's 1533-position model. The record is from RNAcentral.
UGGGGAAUUUUGGACAAUGGGCGAAAGCCUGAUCCAGCAAUGCCGCGUGUGUGAAGAAGGCCUUCGGGUUGUAAAGCACUUUUGUCCGGAAAGAAAUCCUUGGCUCUAAUACAGUCGGGGGAUGACGGUACCGGAAGAAUAAGCACCGGCUAACUACGUGCCAGCAGCCGCGGUAAUACGUAGGGUGCAAGCGUUAAUCGGAAUUACUGGGCGUAAAGCGUGCGCAGGCGGUUUGCUAAGACCGAUGUGAGAUCCCCGGGCUCAACCUGGGAACUGCAUUGGUGACUGGCAGGCUAGAGUAUGGCAGAGGGGGGUAGAAUUCCACGUGUAGCAGUGAAAUGCGUAGAGAUGUGGAGGAAUACCGAUGGCGAAGGCAGCCCCCUGGGCCAAUACUGACGCUCAUGCACGAAAAGCGUGGGGGAGCAAAACAGGAUUAGAUACCCUGGUAGUCCACGCCCUAAAACGAUGUCAACUAGUUGUUGGGGAUUCAUUUCCUUAGUAACGUAGCUAACGCGUGAAGUUGACCGCCUGGGGAGUACGGUCG